Molecule: non-coding RNA, 74 nt
Organism: Podarcis lilfordi (Lilford's wall lizard)
Lineage: Eukaryota; Metazoa; Chordata; Lepidosauria; Squamata; Lacertidae
Source: the annotation of a GenBank genome assembly
GAUCGGUAGCUCAGUUGGUUAGAGUGUGGCGAUGAUAAUGCCAAGGUUGCAGGUUCGAUUCCCUGUAUGAGACA